UGUUCAUUCUUUUUAUCACCAUCUAACAACCAUCUAUACAAAAAUUUAUUCAUUUGGACACAAUUUAGUCAUCCAUAUAUGUCAGACCAAUCGGCAGUCAUGAUAACAAGUAACAUCCUCAUUAUGAACCAUCAAUUUGUGUGAUUCAUAUGAAUAACUAAAGGAUUUCUAAAUCAAAUAAUUUUUUUAAAGAUGUUCAUUUGGAAGAAAAAUAACUUUUUAUAUGUAAGGAGUAAAAUAUAUAUAUAUAUAGUAAUUGUUUAUAUGGUCAUUCUUUCUCAACUGUAUUGCCCGUCUUAAAUGAGAAGAACUUACAUGCAAUCAGUUUGGUAAAUUGAUUGUAUUCGUGUCUAGGUCGACACACUAAAACAUAUGAGGACGCAUUAUAGGCUUAAAAGAUAUUGAACAAGUUAUAACACAUGACCACACGUUAUUAACAGAGAUGCUGCCAAUAGUCCUUGCAAGCAAGUUUCUCUCGUAUUUUAGAAAUACAUGGCAUUAAAACAACAUAUAAGUUAAACCCUAAUUUAUCUGCAACUAGGAACCAGUUUUCGUAAGAAAUGGAUAAGAGGAGUAAGGAGUAAGGACGACCUAUGGUGUGUCUGUAACUAAUGUCAUUGCCUCCACUUGGUGGUGGUGACGGUUGAGGCCAUUUUUAUGAAGGUAGGGUCUUCUUCUCCUUUUGUUUUCUUAGCAUUCAAGCAUAUUUAAUCAAAGAUUAGAUCCCCAUGAUUGUUGAAUAAAAAUUUACAUCUUAUUCAAACAGACGAUUUCUAGAGUGUGACUGUGUCUACAACAACAAUAAAGCCUUAUUUCAUUAAGUGGGGUUGACUAUAUAAAUCUUAGAACAUUAUUGCACUCGGUUUUGAGUCAAGUCUUCCACUAGCUCCAAAUACUCAUGUGUUUCUUAAAGUUUCCUUCCAAGUCUUUCUCUACUCCUUUUGCCCCAAGCCUUUGUCUCAUAAUCGUAUUUUCUAACCGAACAUCUAUAUAUGCCUUCGUUUCAGAUGAUCAAACCACCUUAACCAAGACUGUCUAAUAAAUAAAAUAUGGGAAAUUUUAUAUAGACCCAUUUAUCCUCUUUCUACACCCAACUUAUUAUUUUUUAUUUUGAAAUUCCAAAUGUGCCUAAUAAUUCUCUUUCUAAACCCAACAAGCACAAAAAAAAUAUAUAUAUAUAUUAGCAAUAGGCAACUCCAGCCACCUUAUCUCUUCAAACCUCAAUUUCUAACCUCCCUAACUCCCCACCGCCACCUCCCUUACCACCCACAACAAUUUGGAAAUUAGAACAUUAUUCCCAACAACCCACAAUUAAAAAACCCAAAAGAAACAUGUAAAUAU
This 1341-nucleotide long non-coding RNA is filed under the name Malus domestica (apple). Its description in RNAcentral is "long non-coding RNA (MDOM_LNC004095)". Lineage: Eukaryota; Viridiplantae; Streptophyta; Magnoliopsida; Rosales; Rosaceae. The record is from RNAcentral.